This 87-nucleotide small nucleolar RNA is filed under the name Prunus dulcis (almond). RNAcentral describes it as "sRNA ncRNA". It matches the Rfam family "Small nucleolar RNA U30". The record is from Rfam by way of RNAcentral. Lineage: Eukaryota; Viridiplantae; Streptophyta; Magnoliopsida; Rosales; Rosaceae. RNAcentral also lists the same sequence under 1 other name.
UGCGAUGAUGAUGAGAAAUAUAUAAUCUCGUUAAUCUGAUAUUGAUAUGAGGAGAAACUAUCUCAUCCAUUCAUAAUCUUUCUGAGC